RNAcentral lists this ribosomal RNA (415 nucleotides) under uncultured Glomeromycotina. RNAcentral describes it as "SSU rRNA". It matches the Rfam family "Eukaryotic small subunit ribosomal RNA", at positions 569 to 980 of the family's 1831-position model. Lineage: Eukaryota; Fungi; Glomeromycota. The record is from RNAcentral.
AGCAGCCGCGGUAAUUCCAGCUCCAAUAGCGUAUAUUAAAGUUGUUGCAGUUAAAAGCUCGUAGUUGAAUUUCGGGAUUGACACAUCGGUCGUGCCUUAAGGGGUAUGAACUGGUGUAGUCAAUUUCUCACCUUCUGGAGAACCGCGAUGCCCUUAAUUGGGUGUCGCGGGGAACCAGGACCUUUACUUUGAAAAAUUAGAGUGUUUAAAGCAGGCAUUUUGCUUGAAUACAUUAGCAUGGAAUAAUAAAAUAGGACGGCAUGAUUCUAUUUUGUUGGUUUCUAGGAUCACCGUAAUGAUUAAUAGGGAUAGUUGGGGCAUUAGUAUUCAAUUGUCAGAGGUGAAAUUCUUGGGAUUUUUAUUGAAGACUAACUACUGCGAAAAGCAUUUUGCCAAGGGAUGUUUCAUUAAUCAA